CACGUUGCACUGCUGCCCUGUGGCAGGUGCUCUGCACCCCCAGCCCAGCCCUCUUCGAGUGGGCUUCCUCCCUGGAUGGGCCCUGAGCCAGGCCAGGGGUGUUGCAGGGCUGGGCACAGGCUCUGAGUGCAGGACUAGCCCAGAGACCCGUGGAGGCGUCCUCUGAGCUGAGUCCAGACCUGGGUUGGGCCUGCAGGAGACUCUGAGUGCAGCAGCCCUCACCACGCACACAGUCAGGCUGGCCUGAAGCCCUGGAAUCCUGGCCAAGACGGGAAAGAGGUAACCGGCUUCUCAAAGAGCCUCACGGUACCAUGGGCACAGCCCCCACACUUAGGCUGCGGUCUGGGGGUGUCCGUGUGGGGCCCCAGGCCGUUCCGGGCUGGUUGCACGGCAGUCGGAGGUUCCACGACAAGCAUGCCGUGGACAGCAGGUCCUCGGCGGGCGGUGGACUCAGACCUGGGGACUGUCCAGGGUGUCCCAGCAGAGGCCGCAGCUGCAGCAGCGUCUGGGCUGGGGGAAGUGGGGCUGGGUGCCCAAGGUGGGGCAGAGCCUGGCUGGCUGCUGAGUGACAGCGGUGCUGCCUUUGGGGGGCGCGGGACGCUGGGGCUCCAUGCGAGGCAGCUCCCGCUCAGCCCUGACAGCCAGGAAGGCGGCCAGGUCGAGGUCCAGCAUGGCCACCCCUCCACGGGGUGUGGGUGUGCUCUGGCGGCACUGCGGGCACGGGACCCAGCGCUGCUCGUGGGCCACCGUGUCCAGCCGCCGCACGCACGCCUGGCAGAAGGUGUGGCCGCAGUAGAGGCGGCGCGGCAGGUGCCCGGCCAGGUCGUAGGCUGAGUAGCAGAUGAUGCAGUCACCGCGCUGGGACCCAGUGGCAGUCCCCUCCUCGGAGACCCGGGAGCUCUCUGGCUGCAGCAUCCUGGGGGAGGCGAGCAGGGGCGCUGCAGCCCACCCUGCCUGCCUCUGCCGUCGUCUGGCACCGUUUGGGCCCCGACCCCGGGGGUGGGGGGUUGGCCUGGGCCUCUGCAGACCUGAGAGGGUGGGUGGUGGCCAGUGGACGCCGGGGCCUGGGCCCAGGCCGGGCUCCUGCGGCUGCCGACCAGGCAGCAUCCUGUCCCCCUGUUUGGGCCCUCCUGCCCAGCUCCACACCGCCCCGCAUCCCAGCCGGCCUGAGCCCCAGGCCUCUCUUACCUGCAUCCGCUCUCAUGGGCAGCUCUGUCCAGAGGAUGUCCGGGGCUUGAGGGGGGGACCCAGGCCGCCCUGCGGCUCCCUCGCUGGGGCUCGCAUUACUGGCCGAGCACAGGCGAGGCAGCAGGGAGGCAGGCAGUGGGCUCUCCUUUCAGCCACAAAGCGCUUGCAACUGGAUCCACCAGGCACCACCAACUCAGCAGGAGAUAAAGAAAGCUCUCCGGCCUUGACCUGCAUGUCUCCAUCCUUCGGCUCCCAGCUCGAACACCGCCUCUUCCAGGUAACCUGCUACAACCCUCACGGGCUCCGAGCCCCGAGGGGUCCUGCUCCCCCAAAGCUCAAUCAUAGUGUGUGUGUCCAAGUUGAUUUGUCCCAGCACCUUCCUCCCACCUGGUCUGUCCCCUCCGUCCCCAUCAUACGGCAGUGGCCAGCCCCACGAGGUCCCAAGGGGGUGCUCAAGCACAGGUGUGGAGACCCCCCCGCCCCCACGGACCACCCAGAACCUCCCUGAGGUGCAGGGCACUGUGGCCAGCCCUGGUCGACCCCAUUAGAGGCUACACCCCGCCCCCAGCAUCUGCCUGGCCAUAGCCCCCAGGCCAGCCCAGUGACCAUGACUGUGGGCACAGCAGAGCGGGGUGUGUCAAGAAUGGUCCGGAUGGGGUCAGGACCCUCGGCACCCUCACUACUCAGCUGGGAGGGAGUCAGAGCCAGAGGGGCUCCUCCUUACUCCUACCACCACAGCCUCUCUGUCUGGUUGGACAGGUUUCCGGGGCUGGCCCGGGUGGGGUCAUCCUCUGGUAGAGGCAGGCCAUGGGGCAGGGGCCAGGAAACUGGCACACCGGAGCCCCUGUACAGUCAGGCCAAUGACAUAUCCACCCACACCCAGAGACGGGUCUUGCCCUGUGGCCAGUCACCCUGGGUCGGGGAAGGGCUGGCACCAGGACCCGUCCAUCCAGCAAGGCCAGCUCGGCUUCCUCCUCUGGCUGGCCCUGCCUGGCCCUGGAAAGCACAGAGUGCCCAGCGCCGGCCCUACCACUCGCUCCUUGCCCUGGCAUCCCAGCCUCCCCUCGGCAGUGAGGUGAGGACAGUGCUAAGCAGCUCAGCUCCCCACUCGUCCCCCCACCCCCACCCCAGGCAGGCACAUCACCCUGCUCAGACAGAGGGGAGACAUGUUCUCCGAGGGGCCUCACCGGCCAGUUCCUUUUCUGCUCACCUCGUCCAGGAGGCCCAGGCCCUGGAGGCUGGACACCAGAGGAGCAGCAUGGCUUGGGUGCCACACAACAGAUGUGCGGGAAUGGGACAUUUCACGGGGAACCAGAAAAACACCCCGGCCGAGGACCUGCAGCUCGCCAGGAAGGAGGGCAGGAGGUGAGCCUGAAGUCAGCCUCAGCUCCCAGGCCUGCGGUGGGCUGGGGAACCCCAGCCAUCAGUCGCCUACCUCAGGACCCCUGUUUUGAGGCAGAGGGCAGAGGUCCUCACUUCAACCAACAGCCUCUGCCUGGCAGACAGAGGCUAAGAUGUCUGAGAGCACAAACUGCUCUGAGGUUUAUAGGUUUCUAACUGAUAAAAAAUGUUUUAUUUACACACCUUUGCUAAAACUGACCUUACAAUUGGCGACGACAGGGGCUUCAUUCGCAAGUGUUGUUUGUAGCUAAUUUCUGAAAAUGCAGCUUCUCUUGGCGCGCUCAGGGACCACCACCGGCUCCCCACCCCACCAGCGUCUCCCACUUUCAUCUGUAAGUUGGCAGGUAGCACCUGCCACACAGGGUCGCCGUGUGUGUGUGCGUGUGUGUGUCUGUGUGUCUGUGUGUGACGGGAUGACAAUGGAUGUGAGUACUUGGGUCUGGGCCUGGCACUGGUGAUCUUCACCCCUCGGAGCGAUUAGGGCAGUAGGGUGGGUCAAGGACCUGCGCCCCCAGUCUUUGGUGCCCAACGGAGCCCCCAGGAAGGGAGGGAUCAAAUCAGAGGUGGCCCAGAAGCCAGCGUGACCGGGGUGGCCUGCCUGAGGCCAGUCAGACCGGUCCGGACACGAAUUCCACCUUUGCGGCACCGGGGGUGGAGGGAAGCGGGCCCCGAGCCCCUCGGACUUCGCAGGUGUACGACAGAUGCUCAUUGCGCAGGCUCUAGAAGCCCCACCCACUGCCCCUACAGACUCCGCCCCUUGCUGCGAGGCGGAGGCUGGCGCAUGCGUGAAACAGGCCUAGGAUGGCCGGUGGGAACUUUAUUCCCCAGAAGCCUCCGCGUUCCAAGGUUUCUCUAAAGACCCGGUUCGGGGUCUGCUUGCUCCGGACGGUCCAGGACACGGCCUAGGCCGCUCAGCUCUGACCGCCGGAGCUCCGGAGGCGCGGAUUUGGGCGGGCUCGGGAGGUGGGCCUGAGGGGGCGGGACCUCACUCCAGGGGCGGGGCCUCGGGGCAAGGGGUGGGGCUUGGUGGCUGGUGCCUCCUUGGGUGCUCGCCCAGCGGGCGGGUGGGAAGCUGAGCAGCCCCGGAGGGAGGCCGAGGCUGGGCGCCUAGCCCUCCCCUGACCGGGGCUCUCUCAGUUGUCCAUCUUAACCAGAGCCCAUAAGGCUCUCGCUGCCCAUCCCGUCAGGCACCUGCUCACUUGCACACCUCUCACACCCGCUCUCCAUAAAUGGCUUUGGAAACUGAGACCCAGACACUAGCCUGAGGUCACACAGAGCAGCAAAGUCGGGCCCCAUGGGACAGCUACGCUGCUCCAGUCUGUUUUGCCCGCGUGGGCUUCGUCACCAGGAACAGCGACCUCUCUGAAGGAGCGGGGCAAGGCCCAUAGCCAGGCGCAGUUCGGCCUGGACAGAGCAGAGGGGCUGUGGCCAGAAGAGGCUGAGACUGUCCAGGGUCAGGCACAGGGCCCAGUGCUGGUCACUGGAGUGCUAGCCUGCCACGUGGUAGCUGGCUUAGGUCAGGGGGUGGCACUGUGGAGGUCCCCGGCAGCUGUGGUCCCCUGCCCAGUAGUUGCCAACACGUCCUCUGUCCUUUCUCUCACCUGAGGGUUCCCCACAGGCAGAGAGAGGGUAGACACCAGGGAAUCAGGGAAGCCCGGCUUGAGGAAACAGAAAGGAAUGGGGCCUCCAUGCUGGGUGGGGUCAGGUUAGCACACAAAUACGUGACAGCAGGGCACGUGCUGACCUGAUGGGAUGCCGGAAAGGGCCACCCCACCCUGGGCGGGUGCGUGUCCUCGUGGGUUGCCCCACUGGCCUGUCCAGCUGUCUGUCGGACCUUCCGCAUACCCCUCACCCUGUCCAGCUGUCCAUGAGUCCUGUCCUCGGACCCUUCUCCCAACGACUGUCCCCCUCUCCAUCCACUCCUCUGCUAGCUUGCUUGCCCACACCUACUCAGCCUCAUGGUCACAUCAUCCUCUUUGAGCCUGUCAGCGUUGAGCACAACCUGGUUACACUUGUGAGCCAGAGGCAUGCCUACUGGGGGCACAGUGGAAGGACAGCAGUGACGCUGACUCUCUGGGGGGGGGGGGACACACGGCAGUCCUGGGGGGGGGGCUAUGGGAACCAGCUUUGCUGAGACCCCCCAGUCUGCUCCUCUUGUCUUCUUCCCUCUGGCAUUAUGAGGUCUCGGCUUCGAAAAGCAGGAUUUGCCUUCUAGAAUUGGGGGUGGGGGUACUCGACUAGGACCCAGGGUCGGUCAAGCAGGACUGGGGGUGGGAGUACUGGAAAGGGGUGUCGCGGGGGUCCCGAUUCACACGGGCCCUUCCGGCCCGCAGGGAAGGGCAACCCCGGGAACCGGCACCAGGCCCGCGGCGAUGGAGGGGCGGCUGAGAGACUGGCCCCGCCCCGCGGACCCCGCGCGGGUCCCCAGACGGGGGGUGGCGCUGCGGGCGCGGGCGGGAGCCGCGCGCACUGCGGUCCCCGCGCCUCCGCCGCAGAGCGCGCCACGCUCCGCACGCACCUGCCGCCGCGCCGCGCUGCCCGGAGCCCCGCGCCCCGCGCCCCGAGCCCCGCGCCCCCGGGAGCCGCCGUGCCGCGCCAUUGCCCGAGGUCGCCGCCGGAGCCGCCGGAGCCGCCGGGCCGAGGCGCGGGCGUCGCAUCCGGGCCUGCCUUUGAGACAACCUCUGCGGCGGCGGCGCGCGCGGCCCGGGGACGCCAGGCUGGGGCAGCUCGGGCCUGGUCCAGGCCUCUCUUCUGCUCCCGCCGCCGCCGCCGCCGCCGCCGAGCCCGCGGCCUGGGGCCUCCCGCAGCCUGGGCUCAGGCUAGCUGCCUUCCCUGGGAGCCUUGUCCUGGAGCCAUGGGGC
RNA transcript from Acinonyx jubatus (cheetah), 5450 nucleotides. RefSeq lists it as uncharacterized. The record is from RefSeq and is a predicted model, not a curated record. Lineage: Eukaryota; Metazoa; Chordata; Mammalia; Carnivora; Felidae. The transcript is spliced from 5 exons.